RNAcentral lists this ribosomal RNA (480 nucleotides) under uncultured bacterium. RNAcentral's name for it is "bacterial SSU rRNA". It matches the Rfam family "Bacterial small subunit ribosomal RNA", at positions 30 to 506 of the family's 1533-position model. The record is from RNAcentral.
UUGAACGCUGGCGGCAUGCCUUACACAUGCAAGUCGAACGGUAACAGGUCUUCGGAUGCUGACGAGUGGCGAACGGGUGAGUAAUACAUCGGAACGUGCCCGAGAGUGGGGGAUAACGGAGCGAAAGCUUUGCUAAUACCGCAUACGAUCUACGGAUGAAAGCAGGGGACCGCAAGGCCUUGCGCUCAUGGAGCGGCCGAUGGCAGAUUAGGUAGUUGGUGGGAUAAAAGCUUACCAAGCCGACGAUCUGUAGCUGGUCUGAGAGGAUGAUCCGCCACACUGGGACUGAGACACGGCCCAGACUCCUACGGGAGGCAGCAGUGGGGAAUUUUGGACAAUGGGGGCAACCCUGAUCCAGCCAUGCCGCGUGCGGGAAGAAGGCCUUCGGGUUGUAAACCGCUUUCGGACGGAAAGAAAUCGCAUGGACUAAUACUCUGUGUGGAUGACGGUACCGUAAGAAGAAGCACCGGCUAACUACGU